CAAGUAUAAAAAAGCGAACCAAAGACAGUAGGGAGGUAACUUUAAUAAUCCUACCGAGGGGAGACUUAAAAAACUUCUUUUUUAAGCUUCCCAAAAGGAAGCUUUUUUAAAUAUUUAA
Mycoplasma sp. CAG:776 is the source of this 118-nucleotide regulatory RNA element. It matches the Rfam family "Ribosomal protein L10 leader". From Rfam's summary of the family: This family is a putative r-protein leader autoregulatory structure found in B. subtilis and other low-GC Gram-positive bacteria. It is located in the 5' untranslated regions of mRNAs encoding ribosomal proteins L10 and L12 (rplJ-rplL). The record is from Rfam. NCBI's taxonomy places the organism in Bacteria, Bacillati, Mycoplasmatota, Mollicutes, Mycoplasmatales, Mycoplasmataceae.